This 486-nucleotide ribosomal RNA is filed under the name Aphidius matricariae. RNAcentral describes it as "partial 16S ribosomal RNA". The record is from RNAcentral. Lineage: Eukaryota; Metazoa; Arthropoda; Insecta; Hymenoptera; Braconidae.
GUCUUAUUGAUAAUAAUUUUAAGUCUAAUCUGCCCAAUGAAAUUUAAAUGGCUGCAGUAUCAAUAACUGUACAAAGGUAGCAUAAUAAUUAGUUUUUUAAUUGAAAACUAGAAUGAAAGAUUAAAUGAAAUAUAAACUUUAUAAAUAAAACAAAAAUUUAAAUUAAAUUCUAAGUUAAAAUUCUUAAAUAUAAUUAAAAGACGAGAAGACCCUUUAGAAUUUUAUAUUAAAUAUAAUUAAAUUUAUAAUAUUUUAAAUAUAAAUUAUAUUUAAUAUUUAAUUGGGGUAAUUUUAUAAUUUAAUAAACUUUUAAAUAAUUAUAACAUUAAUUAAUGACUAUAUAAUCCUAAUUUUUAGUAUUUUAAAAUAAAUUACCUUAGGGAUAACAGCGUAAUUUUUUUUGAAAGUUCACAUUUAUAGAAAAGAUUGCGACCUCGAUGUUGAAUUAAGAUUAAAUUAAAAGCAAAAAUUUAAUAUUUUAAGUCU